Molecule: long non-coding RNA, 2284 nt
Organism: Gambusia affinis (western mosquitofish)
Lineage: Eukaryota; Metazoa; Chordata; Actinopteri; Cyprinodontiformes; Poeciliidae
Exons: 4
Source: RefSeq, a predicted model, not a curated record
UACAGGAAGUCGUAAAAGCGGGCGUGGCUUGUUUGGGUUCUUAGCUUUCCGAAGAUGAAAAGAGAUGUUUAGUCAACGAUAAGACAUGUACUGCCCAUAAAAAUCAAGAAGAGGAUAAAAUACCAGUAGGAGCCUACCAAACGUUUCUUGCCAACCUCCAAUAAAAAAAAUCAAGAAGCACAAAGAGAUGACAACCAAGUCGUGCCUACCUCCACCCCCACCUCCGCCCCCACUUCCGCCUCCAUCCUGUGGGACCGGGCCAUCUAGAGACUCUUCUCCACCGCAACCUCAACAUGCCGCUAGGCCUUUUAUAUGUGAUGCAAGGUGUCCAAUCCAAGAGACAGGCGAUCAGGGCGACAAUUCACAUAACUUCCAGAACACUAGUGCUCCACCCCAGCACACAGACAACAGCACACCUCCACCUCCACCUCUACAUGGAGAGGAGGACACAGAGACCAAUGAGGGGAAGAAGCAACACCCAGUCCAGGAAACUGACCCCCCACCCCAGGCGUAUGAGAACCCGCAGCCUUCUGAGACUGCAAAUCCUGAAGGAAAUGUCAGUGUGAUGGAUGAAGAUGAUGACAUUCAGCGUUCAAGAAGUGCUUAAGUUAUGUUCAGAAUAUAUACUGUGUUCAGUUGAAAUGAUUGAACAUUAUGCCCAUAGGGACAAAUUAGAGGCAUUGCUUUGGUCAGACUGUCUAAAUAUUGGGCUACAGUAAAACCGACACUGUUUUUACUUUGUUCAGAGCAGAUCUGAAGAUGAAGAUGUUUUCUUAUCCCACAGAUAUCUCACUGUGGGAUAACUCUGCAAUGUAGAAGUAAAUUUGGGCACACUCGAUAACCUUGAAGCACAUGAUUAGUCAGAGACAUCUUGCAACGGAACAAUGAGUUGUCUGUUUUCUUCCACUUUUCCUUCACUUGCAGUUCCACAGGGGGACAGUUGGUUCAAUUCAUUUUGUGGCUAUAAUACCUUUGAGAGCUGUGCAUACAUUUUUUUUUUUCCAGCCAGCAAAAGUGAAGAUGAGGGAACUAUUUUUUUGUGAUUCUUUUGCUACACGGGGGUAUGAGAAAAUGAACUCUGUCUCUCUCUUUGUGCUUUAGACAUGAGAUAAAGACUGAUGCACAGCUUCAAGCAUCGCUUAUUUGGGCAUUCUGAAAAUGGAACGUUAAAAUAUUUCAUUAAAGAAAUGCCUCUGGAAAGUUUUCAAACAGGUGACCAGACAGGGAACACUGACAAUUUUGGCUUUGACCAAAAUGUCAAAGCCAGAAUAGAAUUGUGGGAGUUUUAUAUGUUACCAUAUAUAGGGAGUGAGUGGUGUCAAAUGAAGGACAGAUUGACAAGGAUGCCAAACUCUGAAGUUUGGUUUCUCCUCCGUUAAAUUCAUACUAGUAAAAAGUAAAAAAAAAAUAUGGCCUGUUUUUCAAGUGAGAGUUGCACAGCUUCAGCUUCCACACUUUCAGCUAUUUAAAAAGUAAAAUUACAAAAGGAAUGUUAUUCAUUGCUUUUGAUCUAAUUAAAUACUAGACUAGUAAAUAUGGUAGAUAAUUAACUUAUUUAUAAAAAAUGCACUAAGUUCUAAUGAAAAUUGCCUGUGUAACAGGAAACUAUUAUGUCAAGUCAGAAGAUCUUUAAGUUUUGAGGUAUGGUAAAUGGAUCUUGAUGCUGGAUUGUAAUAAAUAAAUAAAAUAAAUAAAUAAAAGAUCACCAAAGAAAAGAGUAUCAGAGUUGUGUAAUACUGGAUUUAAAGUGAAUUGUUCUUUUGUUUUUGCAGUGGGUAGUUACUUCUCAGAUUGAAAUUCAUGCUGUUGGUUUAUUUUUAUGUGAAAACAUCUGUUUAGCUCUUAUUUCCAUACUUUAACACACCGUGUGUAAUGCUGGUCGGCUAUGUUUUGGUUUUUCACAUGAUAAAUAUGUUUCAUUUUGAGAAUUUUUGUUUAUGAAAGCCAAGUUUUUGCACAGGAGAAUAACUUAUUCUAAAGACAAAUUUAACAUUUCAAUAUGUUUGUAGAGAAAAUCUGCAAUAAGUUAGUGACUUUCUUUGCAAAUGCAUUUCUAAAGAUGUUUUAGUUUGAUAUAUUUUUAUUCAAUAUGUGCCUUUAGGAUUUUUUUUCCCCACUGUCCCUUGUGCAUGCAUAGGAUGGGAUAAUGCAUUAAAUAAUCAAUACUUUCCUUUAAUUUCCUUUGAAUUAGAAAUGUAACUUCUAUUCCUUGUGAGUUUCUCUAAAACAAUAUUUGUUGAGAAAUGACAGUAUAUAAACAAACGGAAUAAAAUUUUAAACUAUG